AAGUCGUAACAAGGUUUCCGUAGGUGAACCUGCGGAAGGAUCAUUAACACUUGCCAGGUCUUUUGACCAUGGCCCGCCUCCUUUCAUGAGCUCAUGAUAAAGUACUCUCUCCGCGAGAUGUCUUUGUUGAGAGUUUAUGUUUGUGUGCGGAAGCUGGAAUCUCUUGUGUCUUCAAACACAUGAGGUCCGUAGUCCUGGUGACAACCAAAGUAACCUGGGGUACUUUAGAGUGGAGGCACGCAUGUGUCUUUGCUUUAGAGCCCUUCUAAUAAUCCUUUAAUUUUUUUACCAUAUUACCCCAUUAUAAACUAAUAAGACUGAUAUGACAUGAUUUAAUGUCACAAUUAAAUCUUGAAAACAACUCUUAACAAUGGAUAUCUAGGUUCUG
Molecule: unclassified non-coding RNA, 388 nt
Filed under: fungal sp.
Lineage: Eukaryota; Fungi
Description: partial internal transcribed spacer region
Rfam family: Eukaryotic small subunit ribosomal RNA (bases 1-46)
Source: RNAcentral